RNAcentral lists this ribosomal RNA (478 nucleotides) under uncultured bacterium. RNAcentral describes it as "bacterial SSU rRNA". It matches the Rfam family "Bacterial small subunit ribosomal RNA", at positions 30 to 517 of the family's 1533-position model. The record is from RNAcentral.
AUUGAACGCUGGCGGCAUGCCUUACACAUGCAAGUCGAACGGCAGCAUGGAGGAGCUUGCUCCUCUGAUGGCGAGUGGCGAACGGGUGAGUAAAGCAUCGGAACGUGCCGUGUAGUGGGGGAUAACGUAGCGAAAGUUACGCUAAUACCGCAUACGCACCGAGGUGGAAAGCAGGGGAUCGCAAGACCUUGCGCUAUACGAGCGGCCGAUGUCAGAUUAGCUAGUUGGUAGGGUAAAGGCCUACCAAGGCGACGAUCUGUAGCGGGUCUGAGAGGAUGAUCCGCCACACUGGGACUGAGACACGGCCCAGACUCCUACGGGAGGCAGCAGUGGGGAAUUUUCCGGCAAUGGGCGAAAGCCUGACGGAGCAAUACCGCGUGAGGGAUGAAAGCCUGUGGGUUGUAAACCUCUUUUCUCAAGGAAGAAGUUCUGACGGUACUUGAGGAAUAAGCAUCGGCUAACUCUGUGCCAGCAGCCG